This is an RNA transcript of Mesoplodon densirostris (Blainville's beaked whale), 2238 nucleotides long. It is a transcript of the gene named STN1 subunit of CST complex, with no coding region annotated. The transcript has 11 exons. NCBI's taxonomy places the organism in Eukaryota, Metazoa, Chordata, Mammalia, Artiodactyla, Ziphiidae. The record is from RefSeq and is a predicted model, not a curated record.
GCGCGAGGGAGGGUGUCAGGCCCUACCUCCACCCCCCGCUGGGAGCAAGCAGAGGUGACCUCGGCCUAGCGCUCCUGCUCCGGGCGGGGCCGGCGGCGGCGCCUCCAGGCCGUGGGCGCCAGUGGCCUCCUAGCGCCGGAAGGGCCGGGCCUGCGCGCUCCAGGGACUUGCGGGCCGACGGCGCGGGCGCGGGCCCGGCGGGAGGGGCUACGGCUGAUCUGUUUUUCGUUUCCUUUUCCACCCUUUCUCAGUGUCAUCCUGAACACCGGAAGGUGCAGCGGCAGGGCUACGGACAGACCCACCCACUCUGCCCCUCUGUUGUGUGCCCACGAGGACGCCCAUUCCUCUCUGGACUCCACCCAUUAAAGCGGUUUCAGGCUCUUCGGCUCUAAUGCAGAGCUUUUCAGGGUUGGCUGGAAGCCACAGCCCAGCCUCCUGAUGCAGUCUGAAUCCAGCCGGUGUGAAGAGGAAACUCCUUCCCUCUUGUGGGGUUUGGAUCCUGUGUUUCUAGCCUUCGCAAAACUCUACAUCAGGGAUAUCCUGGACUUGAAGGAGUCCCACCAGGUGCCAGGUGUAUUUUUUUACAAUGGGCAUCCAAUAAAACAGGUAGAUAUCUUGGGAACUGUAAUUGGAGUGAGAGAAAGAGAUGCUUUCUACAUUUGUGGAGUGGAUGAUAGCACUGGAGUUAUAAACUGCAUCUGCUGGAAGAAAUUGAAUAAUACCGUAUCCUCAUCAGCUGCUACGAGUGCAAGAGAGCUGAGCUUAACCUCACAGCUUAAGAAGCUGCAAGAGACCAUUGCACAGAGAACAAAGGUAGAAAUUGGGGACAUUAUCCGGAUCAGAGGUCACGUCCGCAUGUACAGAGGAGAGCGAGAAAUUUAUGCCACUGCUUAUUAUAAAGUGGAUGAUCCAGUGUGCAACAUUCAAAUUGCAAGGAUGCUUGAGCUGCCCACCAUCUACAGGAAAGUUUAUGACCAGCCUUUCCGCAACCCAGCCCUCGAGAAAGAAGAGGCACUGAGCAGCAAUCCAGGCGCCCUGGACCUUGACAGUCUCACGUAUCUGCUGAGUGAAAAAGUCAAAGAAUUCCUUGUGGAGAACAGAGUGCAAACCUUUUACCAGCAGGAGUUGGAAACGGUGGAGUCCCUGCUGUCCCUUGCCAACCAGCCUGUGAUUCACAGCGACUGCUCCGGGCGAGUGGAUUUUAAGAAUGACACCACUUCCAAGGCAAUUCAUAGUAUAUUUAGGAAUGCUAUAAAGCUGCUGCAGGAAGAAGGACUUGUUUUCCAGAAAGAUGGUGGUUUUGAUAACCUAUUCUAUGUAACCAGAGAAGACAAAGAAUUGCACAGAAAGAUCCACCAGAUCAUUCAAGAAGACUGCCAGAAACCAAAUCCAACAGAAGAACUAUGAGAAGUUGAGGGAAGCUCUUGGAAAACUCUCUGGGGCUACAGUUGGGUCACCGCUCAUGUACCGAAGAGCAACCAAGGGGUCCCCCUGCAAAGGAGGGAAGCUGAGCAGACAUCCUCCCCCUCUCUCGUGUGCCAGGACACUGGCUGGGAGAAAGCCGAGCGGAAAGAAGUCUAUUCAGUGAUGAGGAACCCAAGACUUGGUGCCAAGGAUGAAAACCAAACAAACUUGUAAUUUUCCACUGGAGAAAACAUCCACACUUUUUUAUUAGCUUGGUCUCUUCUCUACAAGUGGCCUGUAGAGCAACUGCCCCCAGAAAGGCACCUCAUGGUUUCCUUACUAGAUUUACAAGAAGCACACAGGCAAACUCAGGAAGACCGUGGUGAGGCUUGCUGGAGAAGACAGCAGCAGACACCGGGAAGAGAAGCAGGACCAACCUGAAGGGAAAUCAUGUCUGUGGCCGAAGAACCUUGCAAUAGAGUUUUCGUUUGCACAGCAGUCUACUGAUUGAGGCUCUAAAUGUGCUCCCAAACUCCCACAUAAGUGAGUUUUUACUUAAUCCAGAAUUUAAAAACAAAAACAAAAAAACAAAACAGCCUAUUUUUAUUGAACUUUUAUUAGGUAAACCCAAACAGAUCAGUCCCAGGUUUUACGUGUUCACAAAAAUUCUAAAUCAAACCCCAAAUUCCUGAAGAGACUCCAGCCUCUCCCUGUAUGUCAAAUUAAAAAGAUAAGUUUUACUUUGAAACAUCAAAAGAGGAAUUUUGAAGACCGCAUAAUAGCCCUAGUUUUUUUUUUAGAUAGAAACAGUAAAGUGAUGUCUCAUUAGUUCAG